RNAcentral lists this long non-coding RNA (611 nucleotides) under Erythranthe guttata (spotted monkey flower). RNAcentral's name for it is "long non-coding RNA (EGUT_LNC002459)". The record is from RNAcentral. Lineage: Eukaryota; Viridiplantae; Streptophyta; Magnoliopsida; Lamiales; Phrymaceae.
AACACGAACAUAUACAAAUGCUAAAAAUCACUAGGAUUCCCCAAAUACAGGAAUUCUUGUUUUCCAAAAGUAUGCAAAACCAAACUUCACGAAAAUUAUCGUUAAAACAACACUUAUAUUCACUUCUAAAGUCUAUACAUCUCAGUUUAACAAAAACAACACAAGUUAAUAACUUUGAAUUUAAUUAAAUUUGGUUAAUUAGUGGCAUGUGUGUCCUUGAUCCCAUGCUCCCAUGUACAAUGUGUUCCUGUACAAUCUAGAGAAAAAAACAAGUUAUUCCAUCACCAGAAAAUAUAUUUACAAUAUAUCUACUGGUAGAUCACUUUAAACUUAAACGAAAUAACAUACAAAUAAAUCAAAUUGUAUUAUGAAGAAAGUAUAAAGAAUCUAAAGAAGGUUCACCUGAUUAACAUGUAGUGUUGUCAAGCCUUGAGAUAUCUCUUAGGAGAGGCCAUAAAACCUUCUAAACAUGUGAAAAUCUGGAAAAAUUGCAUAUCUUAGUUUAGUAUAUAAAGAAAGAUAUUAAAAAUCAUGAAAAAAUCACAAAACAUAAAAGAUGAAAGUUUAAUAUAACGCCAUAAAAUGAACAUAAGAGAAUUAGAGCAACGAUG